This is a long non-coding RNA of Canis lupus familiaris (dog), 488 nucleotides long. RefSeq lists it as uncharacterized. The record is from RefSeq and is a predicted model, not a curated record. NCBI's taxonomy places the organism in Eukaryota, Metazoa, Chordata, Mammalia, Carnivora, Canidae. The transcript is spliced from 4 exons.
GAUCCUCAAAAGGCAGGGAAGCCAAUUUCAUAGGUCCAUUAGGUCUCAUAGCUACUGGCACUCUCCCCUAUUGUUCAUAGAUUUCCUCAGCAUUCUCUUUGGACUGAGCUCUUUCUUAGUGAGGAUCCAAAUAGAGUACUCACAUAUCUAUCCUUGCUUCUCAGCCCUCUGGCAAAGACUAGGUACAGGCUGUUCUCCCCUUACCAUGUGUGUUACUUUGAAGACUAAGCUUUGAUUCCAGUGUGUUAGACCUGUCCACGGUGGGUCCUCAAGGCUUGAAGAAACUAUGAGGUUGGGGAGACGAAAGCAUCGAAAUGGAGUGGAAAAGGGAACUAUGGCCUACAAUGCUUCUCUACACGUAACGUUGUGCACUUGGAACCACUGUUGUGUACCACAGGAGCCUCUCCAAUAACACUGGACUUAGAAAGAUUUUAUUUAUUUAUUCAUGAUAGACACAGAGGGAGAAAGAGGCAGAGACACAGGCAGAG